GACUGGUCGCAUUGAUUAGACGCAGGAAGAAGAUAUUUAAAACCACAUCAACGCAAAUAGCGAAACAUCAAUCCAUUCAUUUACUAACCGAGCUACACUGAGGCGAAAGGCAGCGUACACCCCGGACAAGUCGCCACCUCAUCACAGUGAAAGCAAAACAGGAUCCUUCCGUGGUUCAUGGACGACCAGGAUGACAAUCAGGAUACUGAGUGUCGGGAUCCAAGUCCGCCCCGGUGUCCAAGUCCCCCUUUAUUUAGUCAGCCCCAAGCGUAUCAGGAUUCAUACGAUCAGCAUGAGGCCAGCCGGAUCCAGUCUGCGAAUCGGCAGACCACGACCACUGGGAGCAACGGCGGAAUAUUUUGCUGCUGCGGGUCUACUCCCAAGGCCAGUGCGUAGCGCAAAUCAGCGAUGACAACUGUGAUGAGCGAAGCCUGCCUUUUGACAAAGUAGCACCACUGACAUCUUCAUCAGCAGAUGCAAGAAGAUGUCUCUCUGAAUGGAGAAAAGAUUCCAGACCGGGGAACAGAUUUUCUCAAAGAUGGCAAUUGUUGAUAUUAUGAU
Molecule: long non-coding RNA, 561 nt
Organism: Nerophis lumbriciformis (worm pipefish)
Lineage: Eukaryota; Metazoa; Chordata; Actinopteri; Syngnathiformes; Syngnathidae
Source: RefSeq, a predicted model, not a curated record